AGAAUUGAUCUUAGUCAGAACGAACGCUGGCGGCGCGUUUAAGCAUGCAAGUCGAGCGGCAAGGGCCUUCGGGCCCCUAGAGCGGCGGACGGGUGAGUAACACGUGGACAAUCUGCCCCCCGGCCCGGGAUAGCCCAGGGAAACCUGGAUUAAUACCGGAUGAGACGGGACCCGCGAUGGCGGGACCCGGGAAAGGCGCUGCGGCGCCGCCGGGGGAUGAGUCUGCGUCCCAUUAGCUAGACGGCGGGGUAACGGCCCACCGUGGCGACGAUGGGUAGCCGGCCUGAGAGGGUGGACGGCCACAUUGGAACUGAGACACGGUCCAGACUCCUACGGGAGGCAGCAGCUAAGAAUCUUCCGCAAUGGGCGAAAGCCUGACGGAGCCGACGCCGCGUGAACGAAGAAGGCCGUGAGGUUGUAAAGUUCUUUUCGGGAGGGGGAACAACCGUGGCAGGGAAUGGCCGCGGGAUGACGUGAAUCCCGGAAUAAGCCCCGGCUAACUACGUGCCAGCAGCCGC
Molecule: ribosomal RNA, 518 nt
Filed under: uncultured bacterium
Lineage: Bacteria
Description: bacterial SSU rRNA
Rfam family: Bacterial small subunit ribosomal RNA
Source: RNAcentral